This 1080-nucleotide ribosomal RNA is filed under the name uncultured Bacteroidota bacterium. Its description in RNAcentral is "bacterial SSU rRNA". It matches the Rfam family "Bacterial small subunit ribosomal RNA", at positions 424 to 1508 of the family's 1533-position model. Lineage: Bacteria; Pseudomonadati; Bacteroidota. The record is from RNAcentral.
UGUAAACUGCUUUAGCCAAGGGGGUAAACCUAACCGGUGCGUUGGUAGGUGAAGGUACCUGGAGAAUAAGCAUCGGCUAAUUCCGUGCCAGCAGCCGCGGUAAUACGGAGGAUGCGAGCGUUAUCCGGAUUUACUGGGUUUAAAGGGUGCGCAGGCGGUUGUUUAAGUCAGGGGUGAAAGCCCUAUGCUCAACAUAGGGAUUGCCUUUGAUACUGAACGGCUAGAGUGAAGAUGGAGUGGGUGGAAUGUGUUGUGUAGCGGUGAAAUGCAUAGAUAUAACACAGAACACCGAUCGCGAAGGCAGCUCACUAAUUUUCAACUGACGCUCAUGCACGAAAGCGUGGGGAUCAAACAGGAUUAGAUACCCUGGUAGUCCACGCUGUAAACGAUGAUCACUAGCUGUUGGUACGCUGAAGUAUCAGUGGCUAAGCGAAAGUGAUAAGUGAUCCACCUGGGGAGUACGACCGCAAGGUUGAAACUCAAAGGAAUUGACGGGGGCCCGCACAAGCGGAGGAGCAUGUGGUUUAAUUCGAUGAUACGCGAGGAACCUUACCAGGGCUCGAACGCAGGGGGGAUAUACCUGAAAGGGUAUAGCCAGCGAUGGUCGCCUGCGAGGUGCUGCAUGGUUGUCGUCAGCUCGUGCCGUGAGGUGUCAGGUUAAGUCCUAUAACGAGCGCAACCCCUAUCCAUAGUUGCCAGCGGGUAAAGCCGGGGACUCUAUGGGAACUGCCUGCGCAAGCAGAGAGGAAGGAGGGGAUGACGUCAAAUCAGCACGGCCCUUAUGUCCUGGGCUACACACGUGCUACAAUGGUCGGUACAGAGGGCAGCGACCACGUGAGUGGGAGCCAAUCCUUAAAAGCCGAUCUCAGUUCGGAUUGGAGUCUGCAACCCGACUCCAUGAAGUUGGAUUCGCUAGUAAUCGCGCAUCAGCCAUGGCGCGGUGAAUACGUUCCCGGGCCUUGUACACACCGCCCGUCAAGCCAUGGGAGCUGGGGGUACCUGAAGUUCGUGACCCGCGAGGGAGCGACCUAGGGUAAACUCAGUGACUGGGGCUAAGUCGUAACAAGGUAGCCGUAGAAU